CAUUUUAGUCUGCAAUUAGAGAAUUUCGCAGACUUUUGGUAAUAUAAGUGUUACAAACGAUGGAUGGAUCCGUUGAACCUUACAUGAGAACUUCUUUUACGGAUUGUCUAAAUUAGCAAGAGUGAACGUGGAGCCAGCGGGAGAAGUACAUAAGCACUGAGCGAGCCUUUGGGGGAAACAAAGCCAAAGCAAGUCUACUAAAUUGAAAUGGGUUCGCUCUUUAGCUUAGGUUCAGUUCUUUAUGCUUUUAGUAAAUUAGCUUAACUGAAAUUGUGAAUGUAGGAGAUUUGCUGCUCUUAUUAGUACUCUCUAUGGCAUGUCGAUGACAGCGUAUUUCAUUUAGCUCUUGAUUAUGUACAGGGUAUAUACCGGCCUUAUUAGUACUCUC
Molecule: non-coding RNA, 388 nt
Organism: Amborella trichopoda
Lineage: Eukaryota; Viridiplantae; Streptophyta; Magnoliopsida; Amborellales; Amborellaceae
Source: RefSeq, a predicted model, not a curated record